Molecule: ribosomal RNA, 253 nt
Filed under: uncultured bacterium
Lineage: Bacteria
Description: partial 16S ribosomal RNA
Rfam family: Bacterial small subunit ribosomal RNA
Source: RNAcentral
UACGGAGGGUGCAAGCGUUAUUCGGAAUGACUGGGCGUAAAGCGCGCGUAGGCGGCCGACUAAGUCUGAUGUGAAAGCCCCGGACUCAAUCUGGGAAGUGCAUUGGAUACUGGUUGGCUAGAGUGUAGGAGAGGAGAGCGGAAUUCCUGGUGUAGAGGUGAAAUUCGUAGAUAUCAGGAGGAACAACGGAGGCGAAGGCGGCUCUCUGGACUAAUACUGACGCUGAGGUGCGAGAGCGUGGGGAGCAAACAGG